CGCCGUCCCACACAGAACCGCCCCCUGCGUCCCGGGCGCGCCGCGUCUGGUUGGGGCGGAGGCCGCCCAACUUUUCGGGACACUUAAAUGCUGCUGUUGAGACCCGUGGUCCUUCCCACCACCGACCUCCUUUCAUCCCCUUCAGUUGAAACCAUCCCUUUUAUUGAUGAUUCUGGAGAGAUUUGAUGUAUUGCCAUCAUUGAUGAACUGCCUGACUCUACCAGCUUUGGCUAUGUGGAUAUGCUACAACAGCAAUAAGUAAGUAACAACAGAUUUUCAGUGUUGUAGAGAAUUAAAUAAUCCUCUCUAGGCCAGCAAAGCUGCUUGGCAAGAUUGUGUCACAUAAAGCAAUACAUGCAACAUCAGCCACACAGACAUACAGAAUGAAAGAGGAUGGGGAGGAGCAAAAAUGAACGUUUUAAGAGUGCCUGGGUGCUCAGUCAGCUGAGUGUCAGAUUUUGGUUUUGACUCAGGUCAUGACCUCAUGGGUCAUGAGAUCAAGCCAUUUAAAUCAGAUAUAGUUCCACUCAGUGGUCAAGGACCUGGGCUUUGGCAUCAGACAGACCUCAAUUCAAGCAUGGCCUCCACCAUUAAAGCUCAUGGGACAACAGGCAAGUUACUCAACUACUUUAAGCUUUGUUAUUAUUCUUUGUAGAAUGAAAAAAAUAAAGAUGCUACUCAUGAUGCUUAGCGCUUAGUCCCAUGCUAAUGGUAAAUCCUUAAUAAAUAUCAAUUUAAUAUUAAUACUAAGUUUUAUCAUCACUGACCAACUUUCAAUCACCAGAGUCACUCUUUGCCUUUAAGCUUUAUCUGAUAUGGUUUCCUGUCUGAAAUGACUCAUUGUUUCUCUUCACAGCUCAGAGUCCUACAUUUGUAUUUGUAAUCACCCCUUAAGGAAGUCUGUUUAGAGUAAUUUUUUAAAAAAGAUUUUUAUUCAUUCGUGAGACACACACACACACACACACACACACAGAGGCAGAGACACAGGCAGAGGGAGAAGCAGGCUCCUUGCAGGGAGUCCGACGUGGGACUCGAUCCCGGGACUCUAGGAUCACGCCCUGGGCAAAAGACAGGCACCAAACCGCUGAGCCACCCAGGGAUCCCCAAGUUAGUGAUUCUUUCAAUGGACAGACUAGGAUUCAGAACUGAUGAUCAACAGUAUUUCCAAGAACAGCCCACAGUAAAAUCAGGAGGCCCACAGCGCACACAGUUGGGGAACAUUUUGGAGAAGACACCAGGUGGAGGAAAAAAUAAGGCUUACCUUCAUGAUCGACCUGUGACUUAGUGAAAGCUGCCCUUGAGCAAAAGUGAGUAUUGUAAACUUUGGGGUAGUUGAGCUAUGGAGCAAGACUUGGAUACUGACUGGAUUCUCAACAGUAAUAGAAUAUAGAAAAGGAGAGGAGAGUCUUCUGUUGUGACUUCCCAGAGUGUAAUGAGUGCUUCAUAAAUAAAUGCUGUUGACUGACCCUUCAAAUGGGGGUGGGAAGAUGGAAAGGGUAUUAUUGUUGAAGGGGGAAGGAGGUAAGUGGUUAAUUUAUACAGGUUAAUUUAUACAUUUUUUUCCUCAGAGGAAACAACUAAUGGACCAAAUAAAACUAUCAUCUGCUUAUCUUUCCACAGUGGGAAGAAAGGAAAAAAAGAAAGAAAGAAAAAAAAAAGAGUUCUUUCUAAAAACCAUUUGGCCCAGGGCAUGAUCCCGGAGUCCUGGGAUCAAAUCCCACAUCAGGCUCCCUGCAUGGAGCCUGCUUCUCCCUCUGCCUGUGUCUCUGCCUCUCUGUGUCUCUCUGUGUGCCUCUCAUGAAUAAAUAAAUAAAAUCUUAAAAAUAAAUAAGUAAAAUAAAAUAAAAAAUAAAGACCAUAUUCUGCUCCCAGUAGUAAUAGACAGAGCUAGAACUACAAGUAAAAUUGGCUUGCAUUUAGUGAAAACAUGUAAUUAUAUCACAACCAAAGCUCUGAAAACUCAAGAUAUUCAGUGGAAAGAACUCUCAGAGACAUUUACUAUCAUGAUCGAAGUAAAAUAAAAGCAUUAAAACAAUAAAAAAUAUUUUCCAAAUGAAUCCAGUGACACUCAGCUAAUUUCAUGUUACUUCACAUCAAUAAAUAAAAAAACACAUCAAGAAAUCUGUACCUUAAGUAAGCAAUGAUGUUAUAAAUAUGAAUGAAAGAGCUCUGAACUAUUUCCAACUUUGCUUCUGAAAUUCCUUUGGUCUGACGGUAGAACGUAUUAUUUCCUGUUCUCAUACUCCGUGGGAAGUAGCACACCCAUUUCAAUCUUCGUCACUUUUUUCCUGUAUCAACAUCCACGGGAGGAAUUAUUUUGGCACUGCCCACCCUAGGUUGCUAUCUCAGAUCCAGAAGCCAUCUGGCAAGGAGUCCCAAACUUUUGUCAGAAUUACCUGGAGAGCCUGUUACUAUGCUGGGAUCUUUUCCAGAUACAG
RNAcentral lists this long non-coding RNA (2438 nucleotides) under Canis lupus familiaris (dog). RNAcentral describes it as "lncRNA (ENSCAFG00000055576.1)". The record is from RNAcentral. Lineage: Eukaryota; Metazoa; Chordata; Mammalia; Carnivora; Canidae.